UAGGUAAAUCAAAUUUCAGGCUGUUAGUGAGACCAACAGCUUGAAUUUGUUGCCUA
Molecule: microRNA precursor, 56 nt
Filed under: Ciona intestinalis (vase tunicate)
Lineage: Eukaryota; Metazoa; Chordata; Ascidiacea; Phlebobranchia; Cionidae
Description: microRNA cin-mir-4050 precursor
Source: miRBase by way of RNAcentral